Small nuclear RNA from Malurus cyaneus samueli, 105 nucleotides. The record is from Ensembl. Lineage: Eukaryota; Metazoa; Chordata; Aves; Passeriformes; Maluridae.
GUCAUGUCAGCAGCACAUGCACCCAAAUUGGAACCAUGCAGGGAAGACCAGUGUGGCUCCUGCACAAGGAUAUCACAGAAAUUCAGAGGGUGUUCCACAAUUUUU